Dioscorea cayenensis subsp. rotundata (Guinea yam) is the source of this 165-nucleotide long non-coding RNA. RefSeq lists it as uncharacterized. The transcript is spliced from 3 exons. The record is from RefSeq and is a predicted model, not a curated record. Lineage: Eukaryota; Viridiplantae; Streptophyta; Magnoliopsida; Dioscoreales; Dioscoreaceae.
ACAAAUGAGAGGGGAAGACCUCCAGGGAUUAACUUUGGAGGAGUUAGUGCAUCUUGAGAGAACAAUUGAUAUUGGAUUAGCUCGUGUGAUUGAAAGAAAGGGACAACAAAUAAUGGAAGAGUUAAAUAGCCUCCAACAAAAGGGAAUGCAAUUGCUGGAGGAAAA